This 253-nucleotide ribosomal RNA is filed under the name uncultured bacterium. Its description in RNAcentral is "partial 16S ribosomal RNA". It matches the Rfam family "Bacterial small subunit ribosomal RNA", at positions 524 to 776 of the family's 1533-position model. The record is from RNAcentral.
UACAUGGGGUGCAAACGUUGCUCGGAAUUAUUGGGCGUAAAGAGCGCGUAGGCGGCCCGGUAAGUCCGCUGUGAAAGUCAAAGGCUCAACCUUUGAAUGUCAGCGGAUACUGCCGGGCUAGAGUCCGGAAGAGGCGAGUGGAACUCCUGGUGUAGCGGUGGAAUGCGCAGAUAUCAGGAAGAACACCAACGGCGAAGGCAGCUCGCUGGGACGGAACUGACGCUGAGGCGCGAAAGCGUGGGGAGCGAACAGG